RNAcentral lists this ribosomal RNA (644 nucleotides) under uncultured bacterium. RNAcentral describes it as "bacterial SSU rRNA". It matches the Rfam family "Bacterial small subunit ribosomal RNA", at positions 231 to 885 of the family's 1533-position model. The record is from RNAcentral.
UCGCGGCCUAUCAGCUUGUUGGUGAGGUAAUGGCUCACCAAGGCGACGACGGGUAGCCGGCCUGAGAGGGUGACCGGCCACACUGGAACUGAGAUACGGUCCAGACUCCUACGGGAGGCAGCAGUGGGGAAUAUUGCACAAUGGGCGAAAGCCUGAUGCAGCAACGCCGCGUGAGGGAUGAAGGCCUUCGGGUUGUAAACCUCUUUUAGCAGGGAAGAAGCGAAAGUGACGGUACCUGCAGAAAAAGCACCGGCUAACUACGUGCCAGCAGCCGCGGUAAUACGUAGGGUGCAAGCGUUGUCCGGAAUUAUUGGGCGUAAAGAGCUCGUAGGCGGUUUGUCGCGUCUGCUGUGAAAAUCCAAGGCUCAACCUUGGACCUGCAGUGGGUACGGGCAGACUAGAGUGCGGUAGGGGAGAUGGGAAUUCCUGGUGUAGCGGUGGAAUGCGCAGAUAUCAGGAGGAACACCAAUGGCGAAGGCACAUCUCUGGGCCGUAACUGACGCUGAGGAGCGAAAGCGUGGGGAGCGAACAGGAUUAGAUACCCUGGUAGUCCACGCCGUAAACGGUGGGUGCUAGUUGUGGGCCACAUUCCACGUGGUCCGUGACGAAGUUAACACAUUAAGCACCCCGCCUGGGGAGUACGG